CCUANGGGUGGCAGCAGUGGGGAAUUUUGCGCAAUGGGCGAAAGCCUGACGCAGCAACGCCGCGUGGGUGAUGAAGGUCUUCGGAUCGUAAAACCCUGUCGUCGAGGACGAAGGGCGUGGGGUUAAUAGCUUCAUGUCUUGACGGUACUCGGAGAGGAAGCCCCGGCUAACUCUGUGCCAGCAGCCGCGGUAAUACAGAGGGGGCAAGCGUUAUUCGGAAUUAUUGGGCGUAAAGGGCGCGUAGGCGGUUUGUUAAGUCAGAUGUGUAAUCCCCGAGCUCAACUUGGGAACUGCAUCUGAGACUGGGAGACUAGAGUACUGGAGAGGGUGGUAGAAUUCCACGUGUAGCGGUGAAAUGCGUAGAGAUGUGGAGGAAUACCAGUGGCGAAGGCGGCCACCUGGACAGUAACUGACGCUGAGGCGCGAAAGUGUGGGUAGCAAACAGGAUUAGAUACCCUANUANUC
This 465-nucleotide ribosomal RNA is filed under the name uncultured bacterium. RNAcentral describes it as "bacterial SSU rRNA". It matches the Rfam family "Bacterial small subunit ribosomal RNA", at positions 338 to 795 of the family's 1533-position model. The record is from RNAcentral.